Molecule: ribosomal RNA, 450 nt
Filed under: uncultured bacterium
Lineage: Bacteria
Description: partial 16S ribosomal RNA
Rfam family: Bacterial small subunit ribosomal RNA
Source: RNAcentral
GUCGAGAAUAAUUCACAAUGGACGAAAGUCUGAUGGUGCAACGCCGCGUGGAGGAUGAAGGUCUUCGGAUUGUAAACUCCUGUCAUCGGGGAGUAAGACCUGGCGGUAAAUAGCCGACAGGGUUGAUAGUACCCGAAGAGGAAGGGACGGCUAACUUCGUGCCAGCAGCCGCGGUAAUACGAAGGUCCCAAGCGUUGUUCGGAAUCACUGGGCGUAAAGGGCGCGUAGGCGGCGUGGUAAGUCAGAGGUGAAAUCCCGGGGCUCAACCCCGGAACUGCAUCCGAUACUGCCAUGCUUGAGGGUUGGAGAGGUAGCUGGAAUUCUCGGUGUAGCAGUGAAAUGCGUGGAUAUCGAGAGGAACACUCGUGGCGAAGGCGAGCUACUGGACAACAUCUGACGCUGAGGCUCGAAGGCCAGGGGAGCAAAAGGGAUUAGAAACCCCGGUAGUCC